Molecule: ribosomal RNA, 329 nt
Filed under: uncultured Pelotomaculum sp.
Lineage: Bacteria; Bacillati; Bacillota; Clostridia; Eubacteriales; Desulfotomaculaceae
Description: bacterial SSU rRNA
Rfam family: Bacterial small subunit ribosomal RNA
Source: RNAcentral
GUCGUCAGCUCGUGUCGUGAGAUGUGGUUAAGUCCCGCAACGAGCGCAACCCCUACGUUUAGUUGCUAACGCGUGAAGGCGAGCACUCUAGACGAACUGCCGUUGACAAAACGGAGGAAGGUGGGGAUGACGUCAAUCAUCAUGCCCCUUAUGUUCUGGGCUACACACGUGCUACAAUGGCCGGUACAGACGGACGCAAAGCCGCGAGGUGGAGCAAAUCCUAAAAAGCCGGUCUCAGUUCGGAUUGCAGGCUGCAAUUCGCCUGCAUGAAGUCGGAAUCGCUAGUAAUCGCAGGUCAGCAUACUGCGGUGAAUACGUUCCCGGGCCUU